CAGGUUUACCUGUGUGACUGCGUACCUUUUGUAUAAUGGGUCAGCGACUUAUAUUCUGUAGCAAGGUUAACCGUAUAGGGGAGCCGGAGGGAAACCGAGUCUUAACCGGGCGUUAAGUUGCAGGGUAUAGACCCGAAACCCGGUGAUCUAGCCAUGGGCAGGUUGAAGGUUGGGUAACACUAACUGGAGGACCGAACCGACUAAUGUUGAAAAAUUAGCGGAUGACCUGUGGCUGGGGGUGAAAGGCCAAUCAAACCGGGAGAUAGCUGGUUCUCCCCGAAAGCUAUUUAGGUAGCGCCUCGUGAAUUCAUCUCCGGGGGUAGAGCACUGUUUCGGCUAGGGGGCCAUCCCGGCUUACCAACCCGAUGCAAACUGCGAAUACCGGAGAAUGUUAUCACGGGAGACACACGGCGGGUGCUAACGUCCGUCGUGAAGAGGGAAACAACCCAGACCGCCAGCUAAGGUCCCAAAGUCAUGGUUAAGUGGGAAACGAUGUGGGAAGGCCCAGACAGCCAGGAUGUUGGCUUAGAAGCAGCCAUCAUUUAAAGAAAGCGUAAUAGCUCACUGGUCGAGUCGGCCUGCGCGGAAGAUGUAACGGGGCUAAACCAUGCACCGAAGCUGCGGCAGCGACACUGUGUGUUGUUGGGUAGGGGAGCGUUCUGUAAGCCUGUGAAGGUGUGUCGUGAGGCAUGCUGGAGGUAUCAGAAGUGCGAAUGCUGACAUAAGUAACGAUAAAGCGGGUGAAAAGCCCGCUCGCCGGAAGACCAAGGGUUCCUGUCCAACGUUAAUCGGGGCAGGGUGAGUCGACCCCUAAGGCGAGGCCGAAAGGCGUAGUCGAUGGGAAACGGGUUAAUAUUCCCGUACUUGGUGUUACUGCGAAGGGGGGACGGAGAAGGCUAUGUUGGCCGGGCGACGGUUGUCCCGGUUUAAGCGUGUAGGUGUGUGUUCCAGGUAAAUCCGGUUCACUUUAACACUGAGGCGUGACGACGAGGCACUACGGUGCUGAAGCAACAAAUGCCCUGCUUCCAGGAAAAGCCUCUAAGCAUCAGGUAACAUCAAAUCGUACCCCAAACCGACACAGGUGGUCAGGUAGAGAAUACCAAGGCGCUUGAGAGAACUCGGGUGAAGGAACUAGGCAAAAUGGUGCCGUAACUUCGGGAGAAGGCACGCUGACACGUAGGUGAAGUGAUUUACUCAUGGAGCUGAAGUCAGUCGAAGAUACCAGCUGGCUGCAACUGUUUAUUAAAAACACAGCACUGUGCAAACACG
This 1269-nucleotide ribosomal RNA is filed under the name Salmonella enterica subsp. enterica serovar 4,[5],12:d:-. Its description in RNAcentral is "partial 23S ribosomal RNA". It matches the Rfam family "Bacterial large subunit ribosomal RNA", at positions 580 to 1833 of the family's 2925-position model. Lineage: Bacteria; Pseudomonadati; Pseudomonadota; Gammaproteobacteria; Enterobacterales; Enterobacteriaceae. The record is from RNAcentral.